Molecule: ribosomal RNA, 720 nt
Filed under: bacterium MEP_010
Lineage: Bacteria
Description: bacterial SSU rRNA
Rfam family: Bacterial small subunit ribosomal RNA
Source: RNAcentral
CGUAAAGCACUCGCAGGCGGUUUCUUAAGUCUGAUGUGAAAGCCCCCGGCUCAACCGGGGAGGGUCAUUGGAAACUGGGGAACUUGAGUGCAGAAGAGGAGAGUGGAAUUCCACGUGUAGCGGUGAAAUGCGUAGAGAUGUGGAGGAACACCAGUGGCGAAGGCGACUCUCUGGUCUGUAACUGACGCUGAGGAGCGAAAGCGUGGGGAGCGAACAGGAUUAGAUACCCUGGUAGUCCACGCCGUAAACGAUGAGUGCUAAGUGUUAGGGGGUUUCCGCCCCUUAGUGCUGCAGCUAACGCAUUAAGCACUCCGCCUGGGGAGUACGGUCGCAAGACUGAAACUCAAAGGAAUUGACGGGGGCCCGCACAAGCGGUGGAGCAUGUGGUUUAAUUCGAAGCAACGCGAAGAACCUUACCAGGUCUUGACAUCCUCUGACAAUCCUAGAGAUAGGACGUCCCCUUCGGGGGCAGAGUGACAGGUGGUGCAUGGUUGUCGUCAGCUCGUGUCGUGAGAUGUUGGGUUAAGUCCCGCAACGAGCGCAACCCUUGAUCUUAGUUGCCAGCAUUUGGUUGGGCACUCUAAGGUGACUGCCGGUGACAAACCGGAGGAAGGUGGGGAUGACGUCAAAUCAUCAUGCCCCUUAUGACCUGGGCUACACACGUGCUACAAUGGACAGAACAAAGGGCAGCGAAACCGCGAGGUUAAGCCAAUCCCACAA